UGUGAAUCGCACCCCUGGAACUGUGCAGGGCCCACCUGUGUGGCCACACGCAGUGACCCUGAGCAAAGGAGUGACCACAGAAGUGCAUGGCAAAGCAGAAAGGUGUGACGUCUUGGAGGACGCGGGAGGAAAGCACGCCCAGCGGACAGGAGCCAUCACGCGGCUGCGGGCUGCUGCUGAGAACCUGGCGUGGGCCACCGUCGUCAGCAGCGUGGAGAUGGUGGAAGCAGAUGCACUGAGGCUGGGGAUGUGGCCGCAGAAACGCUAGCUAUGGGCACAACAGGAAGCCCUCCAGCCCCAAGCCCAGCAAGGAGCCUGCAGGACCACUGUGGGGCCACUGCCACCCUGUGGGGUGGUCCGGGGAGCCGAGGAGCAUGGACACCGUCUUCUCCUUCCAGCAGGCACAGGUAUGGAAGGAGACUGAGGCUGGUCUUGGAUGGACACUUGUUAUUGCAGUCAGAGUCCAUCUGGAUAAUCCUGGAUAAAUCUCAUCUGGAGAUCCUUCACCAGAUCACAUCGGCAAUGACCUGUUCCCCAAAUAAGGCCCUGUGCACAGGUUCUGGGGUGCUAGGAGUGAGCCACCAUGCCUGGCCCAGUUUUUAAUGCUUGGACAUCUCCAAAAUCAGGACAUAUCUUGUAAUUGAAGACGUCUCACCAUAGCGGCCAGCCGUGCAACCACUGGGCCUGUCUGUGCCUGAACAACACACUGGCCUGCCUUUGCCUGAACAAGACAGCCUUAGUCUCAAAGCUUGCAGAUGGGUGUGGCCUGGUAGAAAAUUCUCAAGACAACGGCGGAGCACGCUUGCCCCUAGGAGACCAAGUGGCCGGAAUGUUGAGAAUCAGCCUUUCGCAGAAAUCCCCUAAGCGGGAGGCAGCAGGCUGACUCCAUCAGCCCCAGGCAGGCUUCUGGGCCCUGCAGCUAUGGCUCUUCAUCCUUUUACAUGUUCUUCGAGAAUCAGCUGCACCCUGGAUGCUUCUGACAGCUCAGAGGACAUCAGCAUGAGGACAAGCACAGGGCUUGAUGGCUCGGAGGGAAAUGGAGUUGGAAGAUUUGGACUUAAUGUGCACACAUUUUAGAAAUAUCUUAACAAAUUUUAUUUUGCUGAUAUCUUUCUUUUUUGUGUGUGCCAAAGUGAUGGCCAGUACAAAUCCAUGUCUAAUUAAGUCCAGAAGAGCUCCUUCAAUAAGCGUAAGAUGAAAGUUAUGAGUGAUAAGAAAGCGUCAUGUCAGUUUAAUUGGCAGCAUUUUCUCUUUCUUAGUGGUUCAUAAAAUAAGGCAGUGCUUUGCUAUCGACGG
This 1296-nucleotide long non-coding RNA is filed under the name Homo sapiens (human). RNAcentral's name for it is "HSALNT0000828". The record is from RNAcentral. Lineage: Eukaryota; Metazoa; Chordata; Mammalia; Primates; Hominidae.